Molecule: long non-coding RNA, 406 nt
Filed under: Rattus norvegicus (Norway rat)
Lineage: Eukaryota; Metazoa; Chordata; Mammalia; Rodentia; Muridae
Description: long non-coding RNA NONRATT004109
Source: RNAcentral
GGCUGUCAUGGCGUCGCCCUUCAGUGGGGCACUACAGCUGACCGACCUGGAUGACUUCAUCGGGCCGUCUCAGAGUUGCAUCAAGCCGGUGACGGUGGCUAAGAAGCCUGGAAGUGGGAUAGCCAAGAUCCACAUCGAAGAUGAUGGCAGUUACUUCCAAGUGAACCCAAUUUUGCUCGCCUGCAGGAUGGAAGAAGCCAGAAGCUGGAGAAGGCCAAGGUCUCCCUGAACGACUGCCUGGCCUGCAGUGGCUGUGUCACUUCAGCAGAGACGAUACUCAUCACCCAGCAGAGUCACGAGGAACUGCGGAAGGUUCUAGAUGCUAAUAAGGUGGCAGCACCGGGUCAGCAGCGGCUCGUGGUCGUGUCCGUCUCACCGCAGUCUAGAGCGUCACUGGCUGCCAGGU